AAAACCAAAAACAUCCGCGAGUGGUGGU
RNAcentral lists this small RNA (28 nucleotides) under Bombyx mori (domestic silkworm). Its description in RNAcentral is "ovarian small RNA-9842". The record is from RNAcentral. Lineage: Eukaryota; Metazoa; Arthropoda; Insecta; Lepidoptera; Bombycidae.